This 75-nucleotide transfer RNA is filed under the name Saprospiraceae bacterium. RNAcentral's name for it is "tRNA-Val". It matches the Rfam family "tRNA". Rfam says of the family: Transfer RNA (tRNA) molecules are approximately 80 nucleotides in length. Their secondary structure includes four short double-helical elements and three loops (D, anti-codon, and T loops). Lineage: Bacteria; Pseudomonadati; Bacteroidota; Saprospiria; Saprospirales; Saprospiraceae. The record is from RNAcentral.
GGGUGAUUAGCUCAGUUGGUUUAGAGCGCGCGCUUCACACGUGCGAGGUCACAGGUUCGAACCCUGUAUUACCCA